Molecule: ribosomal RNA, 433 nt
Filed under: uncultured bacterium
Lineage: Bacteria
Description: partial 16S ribosomal RNA
Rfam family: Bacterial small subunit ribosomal RNA
Source: RNAcentral
AACGAACGCUGGCGGCAUGCCUAACACAUGCAAGUCGAACGAGACCUUCGGGUCUAGUGGCGCACGGGGGCGUAACGCGUGGGAACCUGCCCUUAGGUUCGGAAUAACUCCACGAAAGGGGUGCUAAUACCGGAUAAUGUCUUCGGACCAAAGAUUUAUCGCCUUUGGAUGGGCCCGCGUUGGAUUAGCUAGUUGUUAGGGUAAAAGCCUACCACGGCGACGAUCCAUAGCUGGUCUGAGAGAAUGAUCAGCCACACUGGGACUGAGACACGGCCCAGACUCCUACGCGAGGGAGCAGUGGGGAAUAUUGGACAAUGGGCGAAAGCCUGAUCCAGCAAUGCCGCGUGAGUGAUGAAGGCCUUAGGGUUGUAAAGCUCUUUUACCCGGGAUGAUAAUGACGGUACCGGGAGAAUAAGCUCCGGCUAACUCCGUG